This 332-nucleotide ribosomal RNA is filed under the name uncultured bacterium. RNAcentral's name for it is "bacterial SSU rRNA". It matches the Rfam family "Bacterial small subunit ribosomal RNA", at positions 568 to 898 of the family's 1533-position model. The record is from RNAcentral.
CUCGUAGGCGGUCUUGUAAGUCGCGUGUUAAAUCCCCGGGCUUAACCCGGGAACUGCGCGCGAUACUGCUAGGCUAGAGGACGGGAGAGGAAAGUGGGAUUCCAGGUGUAGCGGUGAAAUGCAUAGAUAUCUGGAAGAACACCAGUGGCGAAGGCGGCUUUCUGGACCGUUUCUGACGCUGAGGAGCGAAAGCUAGGGUAGAGAACGGGAUUAGAUACCCCGGUAUUCCUAGCUGUAAACGAUGGGCACUAGGUGUGGGAGGUAUCGACCCCUUCCGUGCCGCAGCUAACGCAUUAAGUGCCCCGCCUGGGAAGUACGGCCGCAAGGUUAAA